AGGGUGUAAACGCUGCGGGCUUGGUGUUGGGGGUCCUUUGAGGGCGCCCAGUGCCGGAGAGAAGUUGUUAAGCCUGCUGCUUGGGGAGUACGUCCGCAAGGAUGAAACUUAAAGGAAUUGGCGGGGGAGCACCACAACGGGUGGAGCUUGCGGUUUAAUUGGAUUCAACGCCGGAAAUCUUACCGGGACCGACAGCAACAUGAAGGCCAGGCUGAAGACUUUGCCGGAUUAGCUGAGAGGUGGUGCAUGGCGUAGUCGUGU
Molecule: ribosomal RNA, 261 nt
Filed under: uncultured archaeon
Lineage: Archaea
Description: partial 16S ribosomal RNA
Rfam family: Archaeal small subunit ribosomal RNA
Source: RNAcentral